GGGGGAGGCCUUUCUUUUCUUUUCAUUGUUGGAACCCUAUUCCUGGAUAUAUAUAAUCUUCCUUUUCUUCCCGAAUGGAGGGGUUUUUUUUUUCUUUGGAAAUCAAAAUUAGGGGCUCCGAAAAUUUUUAGCAUUUCGAUAUAAGAGUAGAAUCCUUUCUUGGUUGAAGAACACAUAAAGAUUUAUCAUCUUAAAACACGCCUAAGACGCCUUUCUCUACACUAUUCGCGGCUCGCGGUUCAUUGGGAUUCGUGGAGUCACGAUUGAGAUACCUAUAGUUGGUGGAAUCGCUCUCUUGUUUGAGUUUUCAGUUCGCCGCACCGAGAAAAGGUCAUUUUGAAUCGAUGUUUGAACUUUCGUGAUGAAUGUGUUGGUUCGAACUCAGUUCCAGCCAUGCUUAUUUGUCGUUUAAUUCGAUUCUGUUGGCUACAUUUUUGGUAUUUGAUGUUUAGAGACUAAAGGAACAUGAAACAUCUCUGUAAAUGUGUGUAAAUUUAGUUUGUUUGAGAUCAUUCUUCAUUUUGAUAUGAACUUUGUUGGACUCGGGGUUAUCUCUGUCUCUUUUUUUUAGUCGAAAGUGGCGUAUUGUUUGUAAUCAACUCUUCCGUUCCUGUGGUAUAAAUGAAAUCCACUUUUGCUUGUUAAGAAAUCCAUUUUCACUUGUUGAGAAAGCCGUCAUUCAAGCUACUCGAUUUUUGUGUUGAAGAAAUGGAUUUAUUAGCAUUAAUCUGCAUGGUUUGUUUGCUUCUGUUUUUCUAAUUUAUUUAUUUUUUUAGUUUAUUUUCUUUUUUUUUUCUUUUUUUCUUUCACUUUGGUUUGAUUUAUUAUUGAAAUAUAGUAUUAAACUGCAUCGUUUAGUUAUUAUGCAAAAGGAAUUUGUCAGCCUCAUUCUACUUAAAAUGCACCCUGUUAUGGGUUUUCUUGCCUAUGAAAUUAUGUUUGUCAAUGAGUCUAUUGCUGGUCCUCUUCUUCAGCUCCUUAGUGGUUAAUAUUGAUGCUCUUUUGUUCAUUUAUUAAGUUAGGAAGACUGGUAAAGUGAAUAUGUCUAUCCCGACUUCAACGAUUACUUUGCUUUGGCUUUCUCUUUCUUUGAAAAUACGGCAGGCAUACUACGUCAAGAGGUCCUUAUGUUUGAAAAUGUAUGAUGCAUGUGUGUUAUCUGCAUGAGUUAGUUACUAGAUUGUCUGCAGGUGAAAACUAUACUUCCUCUUUAAUGCUUUCCAUUGUUGUUAAUUGUUAUAUUGUGUGUGGGUGAAGAUUACUUUCCGUUCUUAACAUCCAUUUUUGUUUUAUUGCGUGUGUUUCGAGUCCCCAUGGACUUCACUCUAAUCCCUUGCACUUUCUCGUGAGCCAUAAAGGCUCAAAACAUCUUUCUCGAGUCGUAGACCCCCUAAAAACUGGUGUACAGGUCGAAACACAGCAAAUGUGUUGCUGGGAAUUAUAUUUGCAGGUGUUGAGGAAGCUGUAUACCAGUUGUAUAAUGUUUUAUACACCAAUAUACAGGUCAAAAAAUGCACAUGGGACCAAAUUCGAAAUGAAGGUCAAUAACAGUGAAAAUAUACUGCUGUAAAAGACUUUCAGCUUUCGAAGGUUGAAGAGCAAGUCGAUAUACCAUCUGUAUACACUGAUAUACAGAUGUGUUAUACCACAGAUGAGUGUAAAACGUGAGAACGCAGAUUUAACAUACAGGGAUUUUGAAUUCAAGUAAAAUGCAGGAACAAUGAAUAAAUACAUACAUAAAAUAUAGCCCGUAUACACUGGUAUAGACAAUUUAUACAGCGAUACAGUAGUAAAAACAGUAUAAAAACAGUACAGGUACGAAUACGUCGAAGUAAUCUGGAAUACAGGUGGAAGUGCGAGAAUGCGUAAUCCAAACAAAAUACAGGUUUCAAAAGUCCCAAAACGGACCGGAUAUAUAUCAUAUACAGCAGUAUACAUCAAAUGUAUACCCCAAUUUUCUUUUUCAGUGCAUAUUUUAAUUGAAUAGGCCCAAAGGCCACAAAUCUUUCUUA
Long non-coding RNA from Solanum pennellii, 2012 nucleotides. RefSeq lists it as uncharacterized. Lineage: Eukaryota; Viridiplantae; Streptophyta; Magnoliopsida; Solanales; Solanaceae. The record is from RefSeq and is a predicted model, not a curated record. The transcript is spliced from 2 exons.